GGGUUGUGAGGUUAAGCGACUAAGCGUACACGGUGGAUGCCCUGGCAGUCAGAGGCGAUGAAGGACGUGCUAAUCUGCGAUAAGCGUCGGUAAGGUGAUAUGAACCGUUAUAACCGGCGAUUUCCGAAUGGGGAAACCCAGUGUGUUUCGACACACUAUCAUUAACUGAAUCCAUAGGUUAAUGAGGCGAACCGGGGGAACUGAAACAUCUAAGUACCCCGAGGAAAAGAAAUCAACCGAGAUUCCCCCAGUAGCGGCGAGCGAACGGGGAGCAGCCCAGAGUCUGAAUCAGUGUGUGUGUUAGUGGAAGCGUCUGGAAAGGCGCGCGAUACAGGGUGACAGCCCCGUACACAAAAAUGCACAUAUUGUGAGCUCGAUGAGUAGGGCGGGACACGUGGUAUCCUGUCUGAAUAUGGGGGGACCAUCCUCCAAGGCUAAAUACUCCUGACUGACCGAUAGUGAACCAGUACCGUGAGGGAAAGGCGAAAAGAACCCCGGCGAGGGGAGUGAAAAAGAACCUGAAACCGUGUACGUACAAGCAGUGGGAGCACAGAGCAAUCUGUGUGACUGCGUACCUUUUGUAUAAUGGGUCAGCGACUUAUAUUCUGUAGCAAGGUUAACCGAAUAGGGGAGCCGAAGGGAAACCGAGUCUUAACUGGGCGUUAAGUUGCAGGGUAUAGACCCGAAACCCGGUGAUCUAGCCAUGGGCAGGUUGAAGGUUGGGUAACACUAACUGGAGGACCGAACCGACUAAUGUUGAAAAAUUAGCGGAUGACUUGUGGCUGGGGGUGAAAGGCCAAUCAAACCGGGAGAUAGCUGGUUCUCCCCGAAAGCUAUUUAGGUAGCGCCUCGUGAAUUCAUCUCCGGGGGUAGAGCACUGUUUCGGCAAGGGGGUCAUCCCGACUUACCAACCCGAUGCAAACUGCGAAUACCGGAGAAUGUUAUCACGGGAGACACACGGCGGGUGCUAACGUCCGUCGUGAAGAGGGAAACAACCCAGACCGCCAGCUAAGGUCCCAAAGUCAUGGUUAAGUGGGAAACGAUGUGGGAAGGCCCAGACAGCCAGGAUGUUGGCUUAGAAGCAGCCAUCAUUUAAAGAAAGCGUAAUAGCUCACUGGUCGAGUCGGCCUGCGCGGAAGAUGUAACGGGGCUAAACCAUGCACCGAAGCUGCGGCAGCGACACUAUGUGUUGUUGGGUAGGGGAGCGUUCUGUAAGCCUGUGAAGGUGUGCUGUGAGGCAUGCUGGAGGUAUCAGAAGUGCGAAUGCUGACAUAAGUAACGAUAAAGCGGGUGAAAAGCCCGCUCGCCGGAAGACCAAGGGUUCCUGUCCAACGUUAAUCGGGGCAGGGUGAGUCGACCCCUAAGGCGAGGCCGAAAGGCGUAGUCGAUGGGAAACAGGUUAAUAUUCCUGUACUUGGUGUUACUGCGAAGGGGGGACGGAGAAGGCUAUGUUGGCCGGGCGACGGUUGUCCCGGUUUAAGCGUGUAGGCUGGUUUUCCAGGCAAAUCCGGAAAAUCAAGGCUGAGGCGUGAUGACGAGGCACUACGGUGCUGAAGCAACAAAUGCCCUGCUUCCAGGAAAAGCCUCUAAGCAUCAGGUAACAUCAAAUCGUACCCCAAACCGACACAGGUGGUCAGGUAGAGAAUACCAAGGCGCUUGAGAGAACUCGGGUGAAGGAACUAGGCAAAAUGGUGCCGUAACUUCGGGAGAAGGCACGCUGAUAUGUAGGUGAAGCGACUUGCUCGUGGAGCUGAAAUCAGUCGAAGAUACCAGCUGGCUGCAACUGUUUAUUAAAAACACAGCACUGUGCAAACACGAAAGUGGACGUAUACGGUGUGACGCCUGCCCGGUGCCGGAAGGUUAAUUGAUGGGGUCAGCGCAAGCGAAGCUCUUGAUCGAAGCCCCGGUAAACGGCGGCCGUAACUAUAACGGUCCUAAGGUAGCGAAAUUCCUUGUCGGGUAAGUUCCGACCUGCACGAAUGGCGUAAUGAUGGCCAGGCUGUCUCCACCCGAGACUCAGUGAAAUUGAACUCGCUGUGAAGAUGCAGUGUACCCGCGGCAAGACGGAAAGACCCCGUGAACCUUUACUAUAGCUUGACACUGAACAUUGAGCCUUGAUGUGUAGGAUAGGUGGGAGGCUUUGAAGUGUGGACGCCAGUCUGCAUGGAGCCGACCUUGAAAUACCACCCUUUAAUGUUUGAUGUUCUAACGUGGACCCGUGAUCCGGGUUGCGGACAGUGUCUGGUGGGUAGUUUGACUGGGGCGGUCUCCUCCUAAAGAGUAACGGAGGAGCACGAAGGUUGGCUAAUCCUGGUCGGACAUCAGGAGGUUAGUGCAAUGGCAUAAGCCAGCUUGACUGCGAGCGUGACGGCGCGAGCAGGUGCGAAAGCAGGUCAUAGUGAUCCGGUGGUUCUGAAUGGAAGGGCCAUCGCUCAACGGAUAAAAGGUACUCCGGGGAUAACAGGCUGAUACCGCCCAAGAGUUCAUAUCGACGGCGGUGUUUGGCACCUCGAUGUCGGCUCAUCACAUCCUGGGGCUGAAGUAGGUCCCAAGGGUAUGGCUGUUCGCCAUUUAAAGUGGUACGCGAGCUGGGUUUAGAACGUCGUGAGACAGUUCGGUCCCUAUCUGCCGUGGGCGCUGGAGAAUUGAGGGGGGCUGCUCCUAGUACGAGAGGACCGGAGUGGACGCAUCACUGGUGUUCGGGUUGUCAUGCCAAUGGCACUGCCCGGUAGCUAAAUGCGGAAGAGAUAAGUGCUGAAAGCAUCUAAGCACGAAACUUGCCCCGAGAUGAGUUCUCCCUGACUCCUUGAGAGUCCUGAAGGAACGUUGAAGACGACGACGUUGAUAGGCCGGGUGUGUAAGCGCAGCGAUGCGUUGAGCUAACCGGUACUAAUGAACCGUGAGGCUUAACCUUACAACGCCGAAG
RNAcentral lists this ribosomal RNA (2926 nucleotides) under Escherichia coli. RNAcentral describes it as "23S ribosomal RNA". It matches the Rfam family "Bacterial large subunit ribosomal RNA". The record is from RNAcentral. Lineage: Bacteria; Pseudomonadati; Pseudomonadota; Gammaproteobacteria; Enterobacterales; Enterobacteriaceae.